UCAAUACGUUGUCGUAUUGUGUGUUGUUUUGCUCAGGAAUACACCAGACACCUAGUUGUGGAAGGUGAGAUUGUGUUUUAUAAGUAGUUAAGAAAUCCUAAUAGAUUUUAUCCAUACAAGAAGAAUAUAAUCUGAAUUUCAAUUCAAAAGUGCUUAAAACACUCUUCUUAAUAGUCUUAACCAUACAUAAAUUCCAAUUACCUUAUUACUUUUAUAUUUAAGCAAUUUAGAUUUUUCUUAUAAGCCCCAAUCCUAAUCAAUGAACUUUAACAAGCUGUAACAUCUAAUCCGACCGUCCACUUGAUGUAGAAUUUAGCAUGCAAUUGUCAAUGUAAGUCUUCAAUAUGCUCAAGAAUUUUUAGCCCAAUCCAACUUACAGAUUGUAAUAAAACCUCCAAAAAUUGCACCAAUGUCACUCGGCUGUCAACUUGAAAAGUGAAGCAAAAAUCCUAGCAAUGAUUUCUCCCUUUCUAACCGUUAACUUUGUUUCAAAAUUGGUGUGUAGCUUGAUCUUUAAGUCUUGCAAUACCAUGCCAAUUUUCUCUUUAAUCCAACUGAUAGAUCUUCAGAUAUCAUAGAAAUCCUAUCCAACCUCAAACUGCCACCUUCUGAAACCUUCUUGUGCUAAAAACUAGAUAUCUCUAAACCACGCCGUUAGAUUAUUACAAAAUUUUGCAUAUACUUAGCACACCCAAUAAUCCAAACAAUAUCAAGUUUUUAAUUGUAGAUGUCACACAAAUUGCACGAACUAGUCAAAAUUGCUAGUCCUAAUUAUAUUAUAUAAUAUCCAAAUCACUAAUAUAAACCUUGACUUUGAAUUUAAAUUGCUAACUCCUCCAAAUCCUUCUCAAAACAAUUCUUAUGUCUUUGAAAAGAACUUCAAGCUAGCUCUCAAAUCCUAACCUUCGAUCUUCAAAUGAAACUCUAUUUUGCCCUAAGCUGUCGUUUUAGUGGCCAGAGGUUUGAUUUCAACCGUGUCUCACAAAUGGUCGACCCUUGGGUAUCAAUUUAACAUAUCCUAAGGUAUUUUUAGCCCAAUCCUACUCUCAACUUAAUCCUAGUACCAACUAUACUAAUUAUUUACCUCUUCUAAUUUGAUUUAUUUGAUUUAUGGUCUUUCUAAGGUAGUAGAAGAGUCUCUACAACUAAGAAGGUAAAAUUAUUAAGUAACCUUCAACCUACUAAUUAUUAAGAUAAAGAAAUAACUUAAAAGGCUUUUAUAAAAGCCGUGUUUAGAUAUCUCAAAUUAUAAUUGAAUUAAGAUAAUUAGAUAUUAAUUAGAAAUUCAACUUUGAUUACAAUUUCACUAUAUAGUCGUAUUACAUCACGACAUCCACCUCCUCUCAAACUUCGCAUCUUCCGGCAUGCGCCAAAUGAACCAUAUAUCGUAAUUGGCAUCAUGCCAUCUCUUCAUUUUCUUCAUUAAAUCCUUUAUUUCUAUUUUUACCAUCCUCUUCAAAACAAUUAUCUUCUUAAAAAAUGCCAAUAUCUUCGGCAUGAACUUCCAUAUUAAUUUCUCUAUCUUGUCUUUUAAAAAUCUUUACUUGCUUUCCAGCAAUAGGUAUUUUCAACCUUGUACCAUUUAACUCCCUUAAUGAAUAUGUGGCAUUAUCAUGAAUCGUUACUACCACAUAUGGUCCAAACCAAUGUUUCAAAAACUUUUGCAAAGUACUAUGUUGGUUAUCCAGACUGCUAUCAUAAACAAGUAUCUAAUCACCUUCUUCAAUUGCUUUAGGCUUCAAUCGAUGUUGCUUAUCAAAUCGAGUCUUAUUUCUUAACCUUGCUAUUUAUAACUCUUUUAAUGUUAGUUCCACAUCUUUCGAUCUUUGUUCAAGUUGUCGGAUUCUAAUGGCUAACAAUUCCUUUCUUGUCAACCCAUCUUCCCAUGGUAGCAUACUCCACGUUGGCACAUUUUUUUCAAUUGACAUAAUUGGUUUUUGACUUGUCAUAAGUUCCACUAGCAUAUAUCCUGUCACCAAACUAUGUAUUGUUCAAUUAGCCCAUAAUGCAUAAGAUAGAAGUCGAGGCCAUUCUCUCACUCUUCCAUUGCAAGCUUUAACUAAGGCUUUUACAAUUGGUGGAUGCCCACGUUUACUCUUUGCAUUCUCCUCUAGAUUAUAAGCACUAGUCAAUGAUAAUUUGAUUCCACAUCUCUUAAAUAAAUCACGAGCUUCAUAUGCAUCCAAUUCUCCUCAAUCUGUAGUGAUCUUUUCCACACAUCCAUAGCGACAGAUAACUUCCUCAAGUAAAAUCUUGCAAAUUCCCUCUGUGGACUUUGUUCUUAGUGCCCUGCCUUCUACUUGGUUUGAUAAAUUUUCUCGAGCCAAAACUAAAUAUCUCAUUUGUCAUAGUCCCAUCGACAUAAUAACUAAAUCUACAACCCAUUUAAAAUAAAUAGCCAAAAGAUAUGUGAGAUGCAAUCCAUCUUGAUGUCGUAUAUUUGAAUACAUCUAACAAGUUACACAAGAUUCUACAAAAAAAGUUACAUCUUGAUACAUAUUCUUCCACCAAUAUCGUUCCUUCAUUUUAGCAAAAGUAGCCCAAAUUCCUCUAUGUCUUACCCAUAGACUCUCAUGAAACUCUUUAAGUAGUCUUUGUUGAUCUUCUUUAGUACCUACUAUUCGUCUUGGCAUUCCAAUUUCUUUUUUUGGUCUCUUCCAUAAAAACCCUUCUUGAAGCAAAAAUCCAUAAGCCUUCUUUCUUAUUUGAUUAAAUUUUUCUAUUGAUCAAUUUUCUUACUUAGUCAAGGUAUUCAAAUAAAGACCAAUUUUUUAGUAAUUUUCCUUCAUAAAGCUCUUCAAAAAACAACUUGUCUUCUUUAUUAAGAUUUGAUAUUGAAUAGAAUUUUGUUCCAUCAUCAUCAAUAUCUUCAACCAUCUCAUCUUUUCUUUCAUAUACUGCUCGAGAUAACAUAUCUGCUACCAGAUUGUCUUUCUUUACAACAUGCCUAAAUUUUAGAUUUAGUGAUUUGAUAUAAGCAAUCCAUUUCAACAUCGCAAUAUCUGGUAUAGUACAAUUGGUUAUCAUUCCAAGUAAAAGCAAACAAUUUGUUUCAAUUACCAUCAUAGCUCCUAUCAAAUAAUCCUUUUUAGUUUUUAUAGCUGAAACAACUCCCCAUAGUUCCCUUUUCAACUAUGAAUAUGCAUGUUGGUGAAUACUUAAAACUUUAGUUCCAAAUCAUACUACUAAUCUGUGUCCAUUUGAGUCAUUAUGACCUACAGCCCAUCCAAUGGCAAUCAAACUAGUAUUCACAAUACAAAUCAUUAGUCUAUUGCUCUUAUAAUCAAUUUUUUUCAAUACUGGAGGCGAUAUCAAUAAUUUCUUUAAUCUUUGUAGUGCUUUAACAUACUUUUCUUCCCAUUUAAAUCGAUAGCCUUUGCGUAAUAGUUCAUAUAAUAGAUCUGCUAUGUAUGCAUAAUGAAGAAUCCAAAUACAAUAAAAUACAUAUGCACCUAAAAACCUAUGAACCUCUGUUAAAGAACUACAAUCUUCUUUCAUUCUGCCAAUUGCAUCAACUUUAGUCGGAUUUGGUUUUUUUCCAUAAAAUCCACAUAAAUGUCCAAAAAUCACAACGUCUUAUACUCCAAAUGUAGAUUUUAUAUCCGAUAAUGUAAGAUGAACUUCUUCAAGCCAAGUUAAUAUUUUUUUACAAUCUUGUAUAUGAUGAGAAACAUACUUGCGACACCCCUUUUUAUCUAAAGUUUCAUCCUUGUCUUCUUCUUUGCAUUCCUUUAUAAGAACAUUAUCCAGAAAAGGCAUAGUCUUUGUAGAAUAUGUAAAUAAAUUUUGUGGUAAGUUACUGGUUGGUUAUUGAUAACCUUGAGAAUUAGACUUAUGAUUAGACAAUUUAGUUGAUAACAGUAGGUUGUUAGUGGAACAAAUGGUUAAGAAUUUAAAGAUUCAUAACUUUUGAAAUGUGUUGGCCGACGGUCCAUCUUUUGGUAGGAUAAAGAUGUUGAGAAAAGAGAGAUCAGGGCCAGACUAUGAUAGACGUAAGCCAUGAUAAGCUUGGUACUACCUCUUUGUUUUCUUUGCUUUUAUUAUUUUUUUAUGAAGAAUUGUCAUUGAGAGAAGUAUUGUUGAAAUUGUGAUUAGACUAUUGUGCAAUAUGACUUUGGACUGACCAUUUUGGAAAAAAUCUGUGACCUUAAGAAUUGAGAUUAUCGAAUUAUGUUGUGUCAAUUGAAGGUAUUGAAUUUUGUGUGGUGAAUUGAAAAAUUGAAUAUAAUAAGUAAGCUAGAGAUCAGUAAUUGAAUAUAUAUAAACUGCAAAGAGAGUAAGUGGGAGAUGAAUUGUUAAGAAUAUGGAAGUAUUGUUGAAUUGACAUUCGUAGAAUAGAUUAUGUAUUGAAUUAAGAUGGAAGUAGUAAGCCUUAGUAUUUCGUUGUUUGAUAAUUGAUUUUAGAUAGCUAGAGUACAGUCAAUUGUAAUACUAACAGAUCCAAUUCAUAUAACCAUUCUUUUCUCAUGUUCGAACCCACCUCUAUUAGUUCAAUUGCUUUGGUAUAUUGAAGCUUGAACACAACAAGAACAACAUUUUGGCACCACUGUCAGGAAAAUGAUAACAAUAUGAAAUGUUAGAAAUUGAUUGUAUGGAAGAUGGAAUUAUAUGUUGAAUGAGAAUGUGAGAAGAACCAGUUUUAGGGUUACAAAUAUGUGAGUUAUAAUUCAAGGCAGUAUUGAUUUUGUAAAGAAGAAUGAAAGAUUAUGAGUGAUAAUCAUAAAGAAGAGGAUUAUCAAAGAAUUAAUUGUCAAGCGAAAGAAAGACAAGAGCAAUUACACAUAAGAAAUCUCCUAUAGGAACGACAAAAAGAAAUUGUAGGUCCAAGUAAAACCAAAGGAAGAAAAAUUCAAAUUCAAAUAGCAAGGAGACCAGUGAUAACACCAAUGGCCGCAGGAGUGCCAGGAGUACCAAUUGCUGUACAAAUGGGAGUAGUAGAAGACCGCACUACAAGUGUGGUACCAUUACCUACUUUUAGUAGUUGGUCGCGCUCUGAUCUUGAUCACUAUGUAUCUCAAUUCUUGACAGCCUAUGUGGCUAAUAAUGGUAGAAUUGAAGACAUUUAGUUGAGAUGGUUGCCAACAACUUUAAAAGAUACAACUUUUGAAUGGUAUAAUCGGCAACCAGUGGGUAGAUUUUUCAAUUGGGAUUCCUUGAGAAAUGCCUUCCUAAUCCAUUUUAGACUAAUUAGAUUUGAAGAUCGGCUUAGAGAAAGUUUGAUGAAUAUCAGGAUGUUUGUAGAAGAAUCAGUAGAGUCCUAUUAUGGCCGGAUUGUAGAUAUAUUUCGUAAAUGGCCAAAUAAUCAAAUGCCACAUGCGUUUAUAUUGUCGAUAUUAAUCAAUGGUUUGCAUCAACUACAAUUGAAAAUGUUUGUAAAAGAGGCUCGACCAGCUAUGGUAGAGGCAUCGUUGGUACAAGCAAAGGUGUGGAAAGAAUGUUAUUAUGAGCAAUUAUUAACAGUGGAGGCCACAAUGAUUCCAAGUUUAGAAAGCCAACAAAUACAACCGGAAAAUAUUUCGAUGGAUAAUUAUCCACAAAUGGCUGCCUCCAAUGUAAAGAAUGUUAUGUUGCAAAAACCAAUUAAUGCUACCCCACUUCAAGCAAUAGUGCCAAUAACAAUGACACCUUAUUUUACAUCACCAAUUUAUCAACAACCGGAGUUGUUCACAAAUGUGACUAUGAAAGAUCCAAAUAAAGCCUUGAUAUUAAAUCUAAUAAAGAAGAUGGAAGAAUUGGCCAUAAAUUUGGCUAAAGAUAAGGAGAAACGACAUAAGCCUUCUAAUACGAGACCUAAUGUAUGGUAUAAUAAUUGUAAGGGACAAGGUCAUUUUGAUACAGAAUGUCCAUCAUCUAGACAAACGGGUGUUUAAUGUACAUUUUGUGGAGGAAAGCACUAUACCCAAAACUGCUGGCAUUUACAAAGGCAACAAUAAUUCAAUAACCAAACGUUAAUACAAUCAACUCAAUAGGAUGUUAAUCAACUACACACUGGAAAUAUGGGUGGUUGGAAUAGUAAUCAUCCAAAUCGACCUAAUCAUGGCUUUGGAAAUUUUCAAAAUACUAAUUAUAAUAUGAUUUAUGGAACAAAUAUGCAGAACGGUGGAAAUAAUCAAAGGGGUAAUCUCCAAACUAUACCAAUUUAGCAGUCCAAUUCUCGACUAGUAACAACUGGUCAGCCAAAAUCAUUUACUAUGGCUACCUAGAAUCGGCCUAGUAGAUAUAUUCUAGUGGAGACUCCAAGUAUACCUGACGGUAUGGGCCAAAAACCACUACGUUGCUACUGGUGUCGAAAAAUUGGUCAUUAUACCAGUGAAUGCCCUAAUCCAAGGUUUAUAGACAAAUAUGCUUCAAUAUAUCAAAAUUACAAGCAAUCGAGUCAUUUUUAUUAUCAAUAUAAUGUUCUAUUUAACCCUAAUAAUUAUGAUUAGAAGAUAUAAUAGACUGUACAAAUUAUAGAGGAAAAAAUAACAAGACACAGGAAUCACUAGUUCAUUAGGUGGAAGUAGUCCAAGUUGUCCUUAUAAGAAAUCAGCACAGGGAUAAAUGAUCAAUUCAAAUAUUUGAAGAGCCAAUUCUUGUAAAUCGCGAUGGACUAUUAUCGAGCAAAAGUAACUAAGUACAAAUUUCGAGCAGAAAUCUAAUAUUAGACAUAGGUCAAUCCUCUCCAUUUAAUCUUGUCAAUAUAUUUGGUGGACCAUCGAAUUCCAAAGAACCAAUCUCAGCCUAAUUGGGAGAAUAAUCUUACCCGUUGAAAGAACCAAUUUUACAACCUCCGUCAAAUUUAGUUCUAAUAGCUUUAUUAAUUUCCAAUAUAGAAAAAACCAAUUUAUUUGCAUCGCUGUCUAGGACUAGGAAGAAGAAAUGGAUAUUGGGAAUUACCACUAAUACAGAACCAUAUGAUAUUCUAAAAGAUUUAGGCACCAUAUAUCCUACGAUCUCUAUGAAGCAACUAUUGGCGGUAGCACUUGAGUGCCAAACUAUCUUGAAUUCCUCAUUAAUUUGUCGCAGAUCUUGAAAUAAUGAAAUUUGAGAAGUAAGUUUGAAUCUCAAUCCGGGUGCAGCAAUGAUUGAUGUCUCAAUUGAUGGAGUGUUAGUAUCGGGAGUGUAAAUCUUAUGAAUGCCGCUAUAAUAAAGAAAUUGGGUUUGAAUCACUUAUUGCCUACUACAGUGGUUUUUAGAAUGGGUGACUCUAAUCGAGUUAAACCUAUGGAUAUUUUAUGAAGUAUUGAUACAGUAAUUAUGAGGAUUACCUAAAAAAUUGAUUAUAUUAUUUUUUGAUUGCGAAUCUCUAUAUUGUCAUACCUAAUUUUAUUGGAGCAACUAUGGUUGUAUCAAGCUAAAGCUCGAAAUGACUUGGGCCAUGGUACAUUGACAAUUGAGAAACGUAAUGAUAAAAUUGUGCUUCAAAUGUACCAUGUCCAAUAUCACGGAGAAACUCAAUUUUUCAGCUCAGAAUUCAUGUCGGAUUGUGAAGAUGAGUCUAUAGAAGAAGAAAUUGGUAUACCUGAUCUGAUUUAUGCUGAUAUAAGGCAAGUUGUUGAGCAUACUAGAGUAAAAUACCACUACACAAAACCGUGAGAGUAAUUAGUUCCUCCGGAUGUUAUUGACGAUUCUCAUCAUAUGAUUGCAUAUUGGAUGAAUAGACAGGAUAUUAAUCAUGUUAGUACUAUGGAACUGAAAUUGGAAAGUUCUAAUUUAUCAGAUUUUAUGAAAGAUUUUGGAAUUGAGUAGAAUAUUAUUCUAGAGACUCUUCAAAUUUCACGAUGUCAACCAAUUAAUUAAGGUACAAGGAAGGCUCUCCAAAUCAUUCAGAUUUACGAUGGUAUAAAAGGCAAGGAGAAAGAAAUUUGGGUGGAUUACUUUUUAAAGCAUAAAAUUACUUUCGCAUAGUUGUAUGCGGAUUUGAAAGAAAUUCUAGUUGAAGUUUGUGAGCAUCGAAUUAUAUUGGAGGAGAAUGCUAUACUAGUACGCCAAAGAUAACAUCAACUUAAUUCAAAAUACUCACUUAUGAUAAAAGAAGAACUGCAUAAACUCUGGGAGGUUGGAUUUAUCUAUGCAGUUCCUUUCAGUGAAUGGAUUUCACCAAUUGUUAUGGUACCAAAAAAGAAUGAAAAAAUUCACAUCUGUCAAGAUUUUUGCAAAUUAAAUGCGGCUACCAAGAAGGAUUAUUUUCCUUUACCAUUCACGGAUAGUAUAUUAGAUGCUUUCGCUGGACAUGAAUGUUAUUCAUUUUUUGAUGGAUUCUCUGGUUAUAAUCAAGUUAAAAUUACAAAAGAAGACCAAUUAAAAACUUCUUUUACUAUGGAUUGGGGGACCUAUGCCUAAAAGGUUAUGCUGUUUGGGCUUUGUAAUGCAAUAACUACAUUUCAAAGGAUAAUGACACAAGCGUUCCAAGAUUAUCUACGAAUUUCAAUGAAAAUAUUUUUAGAUGAUUUUUGUACAUUUAGUAUGAGAUCCAUGCAUUUAGAAUGUCUAGGUCAAUGUUUGAAUCAAUGUACUAAAUAUGGAAUUUCUUUAAAUUCAAAAAAGUACCAAUUUGGUGUACCUUCUGGUAAACUGUUAGAUCAUAUAGUUUUGAUAGUAGGUAUUGCUACAGAUCUGGAUAAAAUAAAGAUUAUAGUAGAAUUAAAGCAACUAGACACUGUUAGAAGUGUUUGAGUAUUUGUCGGCCAUGUCAGUUAUUAUCGGGGAUUUAUCUAUCUAUUUGCAGUUAUAUGCCUUCCCUUAAUAAAUCUCUUGAAGAAACCACCAACUGAUGGGACCAAUCUAGUUUGGACAAAGGAAUGUACAAUUGCAUUCAAAACAUUAAAACAAAAAUUGGUUUCAGCACCAAUAUUGGUAGCACCUUGUUGGACAAAAUCAUUCCAAGUUUAUGUGGAUGCAUCUAAUGUCGCGAUUGGUUCUGUGUUAAGCCAGAAAGAUGAUUGGGAUUUUGAUCACUCUAUUUAUUAUACAAGUCGUCAAUUAGUAGAAACUGAAAGAAAUAAUACAACAACAGAAAGACAAGUAUUGGAGUUGAUUUAUUUUAUACAAAAGUUUCGACAUUAUCUUCUUGAUUAUAAAUUUUUUUCCAUGUCGACCAUGAUGCUUUAAAAUAUAUGAUUAAUAAGCCUCAUUUGAGUAGUCAUAUUACACGAUGGGUUUUACUCUUGCAAGAAUUUAACUUUACUAUUCAAGUAAGAUCAAGAAAAUCACAUUCUAAUGCGGAUAACAAGGACAAGAACUUGAUAAAAAAAGUAAUUCAGACAAGUGAGCCUUCACUCAAAAAAAGGUAACAAAAUCUAAAUAAACAAGUAUAUAUAUUGAAAGAGAAACUGAAAUGGCUAUUGCCAAAAGACAAGAAAACUAGAGACCCUUGAAACUAGAUUAGAAGCAAGAAAAGAGUUGACAAGAGUGAAGAAGGCUUCACUCUUGUCUCUAUAUAUACUAUCUAACUAAAGGCUACGUGGUGACCUUCUAUAAGACCUCCAAUAAGUGUUGACUUUGUAGGAAACAUGCCUUGACUUACAAGGCAAGUUUUUCUACGUGUGGGCCACAUUAUUAGCUUCGUCUUCAAGCUAACAACAUCUAUGGCACAUGGCCAACUUGUUGACCACGUUUCUAAUCCAAAAAGUUAAUUAAAGACACCUAUAAAAUCAAAGCAGUAUUUAUGAAGCUUCUAAGAAGCUUCCAUAUUAAAUACUAUAGAAUUAAAUUACUUUUAUGUACUUUUACUUACUUCUACCUAUUUAUAUAUGUAAUUAUUGAUUUACAUGAGUAUGUUCAUGACAUUACCCCCUUCUUCUAGGGAUGAGUUCUACGAGGAGCAGUCAUCAUAUGUUGAGAAAAUCUAUGAUGCGACAAAUUACAUUCGCCACACACUCUGAUUUUUGUUCUCUUUGAAGUUGAUUGAUAGGGCCUCUCAGCCAUUGGUAGUGUCCUAUACCAGGACAGAAAGACCACCGAGUUAUUUGAUCAUUGUUGAGGCCUUCAUAACUUCCUUCAAAUAGAACAUUUGGAACACCAUCAGGAAUUGUUCUUACUUCUAGUAAAAUAACCAAAUAUUGGGACUCCCUUUCCAAGUCGUCAUACUAAACGCGUUGUAUCUUACCAUCUAUUUGAGGAAGAACACAUCGUUCUUGAAGAUCUUCAUCUCGAUUCCGUCGUCUUGAAGGUUGUGACAAUCAUAAUGUCUUAUCUGACACGUCAAUAAUUGAAGGCUCUUGAAUUGAAUCCGCUAGUUGUUGAUUUUCCAUCUCUCGAGCAUCACAACUACAAAAAAACUACAAACAAGGAUUGAAAAUAGAAUGUUAUCUUGCCUAGAUGUUUUUUCUUUUAUAAAUAAGGUUUUUUAUCUUGAUUUUGAUAGAUGUCGUCGAUGAAAAGCCUCCACCGCUGUCGUGUUGUAACACGAGUAUACAAUGAAAAUAAAAAGAAAGGGGAAUUUUAUUAAUAUUCAGUUACCUCGAAUAUUGGGAGCAUCGACCAACUCCUGUACAAAUACUGAGUGGUCAGAUUCAGUCACCCCGUUACAGUCAUUCGGGGCAUACUGAAAUGCUCCAUUCAAUUCCAAUAACGGGAGUCAGCAGGAAGAGAAGGACCAAUUCACACGACGGGUUCGAAGAGCCAAUUGGAUCCAAUUUUGAGAAUCCAAUCCGGGUCCUCUUACCCAAUAUGGGACCUGAAUUGGCCGGGCAACCCAAUGCAGACCCAAUUACGGGAACAUCCAGGUUAUUACGGGCAUCUUACCCAAUAUGGGACCUGAAUUGGUCGGGAGACUCAAUGUGGUCCCGAUUACGAGUUUCGAUUCUGUUUCGGGCUGUGUUGUUCUCUGUGCCGUUUCAAGGAACGUUGUUUUCGAUAAAAGGAUCUCUUAAAGGUAAAAAUGGGGGAGAAAAAAGCUCUGACAGUGAGAGCCAAUUUCAGAUCUAAGCCUUGAUGGCGAGAGCCAAUUCCGGAUCCAAGACGGAAGAUUGAAGAAAUUCAGAGGAUAAGGUUAGGAGAGAGAGUUUUUUUUGGGGGGGGAUUUUUUCUUUUCUGGAAAUCGGGGGGAGCUAGUUUUCAAGCUUUUGCAAGGUUACUAGUUGGGUUUUUUAUUGGAGGUUUUUGAAGAUCAAGGGGAUUAGAUAGGGGAGCUUCAUGCUUCGGGUCGGUGAAGGAAAGACAUAGAAUUUGGGUUUUUCUUCUUCGUAGAGUUUUGGGAAGAUUGAGGCAAUCGUUGCUGAAGUCAGUAUUGUAAUGGUGAAUCGGGAUUUUUAAUGAAGUGGGUUUGAAUACUCUUGACUGUUUUGUGAAAUCGAGUCACGUCUGUGAUUGAAGGAUUAAAAGGGUGUCUAUAGGAUUGAGUAUGCGGAGUGAAUGAAAUUUAUUGAGUUAAUCUAACAAGACAGUCAGUGGAUACAAGAUCGUAAGUACAAAGCGGUAUUGAAGAUUAACAGUUUGGAUUGUUCGGGGUUCUCUGUAACGUCUAGAGACCUACCGGCUGGGACAAAAAGGACUUCGACAAGCAGACGAAGAGCAUCCGUAUAGAUUUACGGUACAUUGUUGCAGUCGUUUAUAUUCCAGCAGUCGAAACUGAUAGACUGCUUGACUAUCGGCAAAUCUCCAUACUACCUUCUACAACCAGACGCCCGGUGCGUUCUCGAGCAGAAAAGCACGUAAUACGACACCGCCUUUGCUGCAUUUGCAAAAUUCAUUACUAGCUCCCAUGUGCAUUUACUUAUAUCAUAUCUAUACUAAUGGACAAGAUAUUCUAAUUUAUUUUGGCGCCACCUUGAAUCUAAGACUUCUUCUACUUCAAACUCUUCAUUACUGUCCACUUCUAUAGGAGGAUGAGGAGCUUGUCGUCUUCUUGGUAUGUCCAUUCUCUUGUAUGGUUCAAGAAGAGAUACGUGGAAUACUAGAUGGAUUUUCAUUGACUCCAGUAGAUAUAAAUGAUAUGCGACUGGAUUGAUUUGUGAAGAAAUAGAAAAUGGUCCCAGCCUUUGAUAAUCCAAUUUGUCACAAGGACGAGUGGUCUCGAUAUUGUAACGAAGUAGCCAUACCUUAACACCCAAGUGGAAUGGUGGUUGUUUCUUUUGAUAGACAUCCGCAUUGACCUUCUGUUGUUCUUGAGCUUCUUUUAACUGCACCUUCAUCAUUGCAUGUAGCUGUGAUAAAUGAAUCGCCAAAUCUUUCGCAGCAGGAUUAUCAACUUUUAGAAAGUCAAAAGUAUCAAGUCAUGGGUGAUAACCGUAAUUAGCAAAAAAAGGUGUUUAUUUUGUAGAAGAAUAUACUGUGUUAUUAUAAGCAAACUCUUCCAAUAGCAAAAGAGUUGUCUAAUCAUCUUCUUGGUAAUUAAUGAUACAUCUUAAAUAUUGCUCCAAAACUUAAUUAACACGCUCCGCUUGUCCAUCAAUUUGAGGAUGGAAUGUUGAAGAUAGUUUUAUAUCCACUUUUAGAAUCAUCAAAAGAGUCCGCCAAAAUCUUGAUACAAAUUGAAUUCCUCUAUUUGAUAUAAUAUCCUUUGAUAAUCCAUCAUAGCAAUAGAUAUUGUCAAGAAAGAGCUUAGUUAUUUCUUCACCUGUGAUAGAUUUUGUACAUGGUAAAAAAUGUGCCAUCUUGAUAAAAUGAUCUACUAUCACGAAUAUAGAGUCAUAAGAACCUGAGAUUGGAAGAUCCGUGAUGAAGUUCAUAGAAAUUGAAGACCAUGGUUAUUCUAGAAUGGAUAAUGGCUGAAGAAGUCCAAAAGGUCGAUGACGAGGAGUUUUUGAUCUUGAGCAAACAUCACAUGAUUGUACAAAAUCUUUGACUGCCUUCCACACUUAAGGCCACCAAAAAUCCCUAGAUAUCAGCUCCAAAGUCUUAUUACAUCCAAAAUAUCCUGCUGCUGGGAAGUCGUGAUGAGCUUGAAGAAUACGUAAAUAUACUUCACCUUCUGGAAUAUAUAGGGGUCCUUCGAAAUAAAGUAGGUUGUUCUAGAAUUCGAAUUUAGAGGGAUCAUGAGAUUUAGAAGAAUUUUUCUUGAUAUCAUGAACAAGAGGGUUUGAAGACAUACUUAACUAGACUUGCUUGACAAAAGUUAAAUCAACAGUCAAUGUUGAUUUUAUUGCUCGAAGAUGAAAUUACUCCAACUUCAAGAGAACCGUUCUUUGUUGCUCAAAAGCUACAUCGCCUUCUUUUGGUGCAAGAUAAGAAUGUCUAGAUAAGGCAUCAGACAAACCUUGUUGUUUUCCUGGCCGAUAAGUGAUGAUGAACUCGAAUCUUAAUAAGAAGAUGCUGCAACGAGCUUGACAACGAUUUAAUAUGCGUAUUGACAUGAAAUACUUGAAGUUCUUGUGAUUUGUAUAUACGGUGAGUGGAUUGGAAGCGCCUUCUAGAUAAUGAUGCCAUUCUUAAAAAGAAUCCACAAUUACAAGAAGUUCUUUGUCAUGGAUCUCAUAAUUGAUUUCUACUGUUGAGAAUUUUCUUGAAUGAAAGGCUAUUAGAUGAAGUUUAUCAUCUGUUCCCAUUUGUGAUUAAACCGCACUCAAAGCAAAAUCUGAUGCAUCUGUUUUCAUAAAGAAUGCUUUGGAAAAAUCAACACGAUACAAGAUUGGUGCAGAGACAAACAUUCUCUUCAAAGAUUCAAAAGCAAUUUCUACUUUUUGAUUCCAUUGGAGUUUGUCUUUACAAGUCAAACGUGUAAGUAGAGCUACAAUUUGAGAGAAGUCUUUGAUGAAGAUCCCAUAGUAAUUGGCAAAUCCCAAAAAGCAUUGGAUAUUUCUUACCGUUUUUGAGAUCUUCCAAUCUAUAAUAGUUUGAAUUUUCUUAGGAUCCAUCAUAAGUCCAUCAUUUGAAAUGAUGUAACCUAAGAAAUUGACUUGAGUAGUGUAAAAUACACACUUUUCUAUCUUGGCAUAGAAUCUUGCAUCUCUUAAUUUUUGUAAUACACGACGAACAUGAAGUUCAUAUUCUUCAGAAUUUGAAGAAUAGAUCAAGAUGUCGUCUAGAUAACAGACUACAAAAUCGUCCAAAAAAUCUCAAAAAAUAUCAUUCAUUAGAUGUUGAAAAGCUGCUGGUGCAUUUGUAAGUCUAAAAGGCAUGAGGUUGUAUUCAAAAUGUCCAUACCUAGUUCAAAACGCAAUCUUCCAUUCAUCUCCUUCUUCGAUGCAUACUAGAUUGUAUGCUCCCCAGAGAUCUAUUUUUAUAUAGAUCUUAGCUUGAUUCAGCUGAUCAAGAAGUCCAGAUAUUGAAGGUAGUGGAUAACUGUUCUUGAUGGUAAUCUUGUUGAGUCCUCGAUAAUCAAUACACAUCCACAAUGAUCCAUUUUUUUUCUUCACAAAUAGAAUUGAAGCUCUUAUCAGAGAUUUAGAAUGGCAUAUGAAAUUCUUGGCUAGAUUUUCUUCAAUAUACUCCUUGAGUUCAGUCAAUUCAUUUUGUGAUAAACUGUAGAUUGGUCCGAAUGGCAGUUGUGCUCCUUCUUGAAGGUCAAUUGAGCAAUCAUAGGGACGAUGUUUUAGGAGUGUAUCCACAUUCUUUUUUUCAAAUACAUCUUGAAAUUCUUAAUAUUGGCUUGGAAUACCACGUGAAGUCUUUCCACCGUUAGAAAUAGAUGUGGCAUAAAUAAUAUAUAGUGAUUCUUUCAUAGCAGCAUGUAAGAAAGCUUUUGCACCUAUGAACAAGGAUUUAAUUGAACUAGACUUAUGACUCUCUACUUAAUUAACUACACUGUUAGUUAUACUUUUAGAAAAAGUAAGAGUUCGAGAAAUCCAAUCUAUUUGAGGAUUGUAUUUUUUUAACCACGAUAAACCUAAAAUAACUAGAUUAGAUGGAGAUCUAAUGAUAUUAAAUACUACAAAGCUAUUAUGACCAUUGAUUAUUACUUCUAUAGGAAGGGUUUCAUGAAUAAUAUCUCCAAAAGAUAAUACAUGACCAUUUAUGACUUCUAUAUGAACAGGUUUAGUUUUCUUUACUAAAAAUAUGCUAUAUCUUUUAAUAAAUUCUUCAUCUAAGAAACACGCUGAGGCUCUUGAAUGUAACAAGGUAGAGGCUUUGUAAUGUUUAGGUCCUAAAAUAACAUUUAAUAUAAAACAAGGAGAGGGCUUUGAGGAGAGAAUAGGACCUUUAUUAGAUGUUGUGCAAGGUUCCAACACAUGGUCCCUAUUGUAGCUGGACAAACUCAUUUUUUGACAUAUUGUCUUCUUUGACAGCCAUACUCCUCAUUUUGUGGUUGCGUUGUUUCUUUGGACAAUGUUAAGCAGUGUGUUUUGGUUCUCCACAAUAUAAACAUAAUCCUUCUUGAUGACGGUGAGUCUUUUCUUGGUUAGUAAGAGGUUUGAAACAUACUGCAUCAAUUUGCAUAUCCUCUACUUCCGAAUGUAUGUGUUGAAGAGGUGUUGGUAUUGCCAUUGAAUUAUAAUAACGUUGAGGUCCACUUGUAUGCUUCUCAAAUCAAAAUUCAAAAAGGUGAUUGUCGCACUUCACAGCAAAGUCAAUUGUUUGACUCAAUGUUUGAGAAUCAAGUAGGUUGAGCAUUAAUUUUUUUACCUCAUAUUAUAAUCCGUAGAGAAAUUGGUUAAUAAGUGCAGCAUCAUCCCACUUGAUAUGAGUUGUAAGUUAUUGAAAUUGUGAAGCAUAUAACGUUACUGAUUGAUUGUCUUGUAGUAAAAUAUGGAUCUUAUUGGUUGCAAUACGAAUUGCAUCAUGUUCUCCAUAUAUGGAUCGAAACUCCACCAGAAAAGCCUCUAGAUUAUCCAAUAUUAGAUCUCGUCAUUCAAGAAAACAUAAAAACCGCGAUAGUGUUGAAUCUAAAAUAAGCGUAUCAAUGAAUCUAACUUGCGAUCUUGGAGUUGGAUAGCUUUGGGAUUGAAGUUCAAUCACAAGUUACACUUAAUUGAUAAAUCCUUAAAACAUGGAUCUGGUGCCAUCAAACUUCUCGGAUAGGACAAUUCUUGGUUUUUUAACAUUAAAAGGGCAUUCCACCAUAGGAAAAAGGAUAUGAUUUGGUGUAGAUAUUGAAGCAGCUCCAAUCAUUUCUAUAUCUUCACUUCCUGCCAAUCUUGUUGCUUCUUGUGGUGGUAAAUUGAGUUGAUGCAUCGCAAGCAUUAACUCCCUCAAUUACUCUUACAUUUGUGCCAUUAUACUUUUCAUUUCAACAAGUUCUGCCAUGAUAACACUUAGAAAAGAAAAGAUGUCUAAUAUUGCUCAAGAUAAAUAGAAGAGAGGACUUGAGAACAAAGAAAAUACUAAGGACAAUAUCAAUUUAGAAGAGGAUAAUCCACAACUUCUAAUAUGCUUAUAUCUUAUCAAGAAAAAGAGAUAAUCCACUUUUAAUCAAGAUUAGACAAAGCUAUGAUAUUAUACGUAUACUCUUGUCAAUCUCUCAAGGAUAAGUACUCGAUGAAAAAAGUAAUUCAGACAAGUGAGCCUUCAUUCAAAGAAAAGGUAACAAAAUCUAAAUAAACAAGUAUGUAUAUUGAAAAAGAAACUGGAAUGGCUAUUGCCAAAAGACAAGAAAACUAGAGACCCUUGAAACUAGAUUAGAAGCAAGAAAAGAGUUGACAAGAGUGAAGAAGGCUUCACUCUUGUCUCUAUAUAUACUAUCUAAUUAGAAGCUACGUGGUGACAUUCUAUAAGACCUCGAAUAAGUGUUGACUUUAUAGUGCACAUGCCUUGACUUACAAGGCAAGUUUUUCUACGUGUGGGCCACAUUGUUAGCUUGAUCUUCAAGCUAACAACAUCUAUGGCACAUGGCCAACUUGUUGACCACGUUUCUAAUCCACAAAGUCAAUUAAAGACACCUAUAAAGUCAAAGCACUGUCUAUAAAGCUUCUAAGAAGCUUUCAUAUCAAAUACUAUAUAAUUAAUUUACUUUUAUGUACUUUUACUUACUUCUACCUAUUUAUAUAUGUAAUUAUUGGUUUAUAUGAAUAUGUCAGUGAUAGUGGACCAUUUAUCUCAGUUAUCUAAUAUAUUGGAUAAUGAACCCAUUAACGAUGCACUAGCCAAUGCAGAACUGUUUGCGAUAGAUGUAAUUACUCUGGAGUAUAGUGAAAUAAUUUAAUAGUUGAUAUUUCAAACCUUUCCACCUAAAUUUAAUGAAAAGCUUAAACUAUGCUUAAUAUUAAGAUGUGCACCUUAUAUGAUGAUUGGUAAAGCUUUAUAUAAACAAGGCAAGGAUGGAGUUUUGUGACGCUGUAUUUAUUAGGCUAAAGUGUGUAUUAUAUUGAAAGGUUGCUACUUAGACAGUUGUAGUGGACAUUUUGCGGGGGACAAAACGGCUCAUAAAGCUUUACAAGGUGGUUAUUGGUGGCCAACAAUGUUUACAGAUGCCCACCAAUUCAUCCAUCAUUGUGAUCUAUGUCAGAGAAUGGAUCGACCUACUGGAACUUCAGCAAUGUCAUUGGUACCAAUUCUCGCUCAAGCGUCUUUUGAAAAAUGAGAAAUUGAUUUUGUGAGACCAAUUACACCAACCUCGAGAAAUGGACAAAAAUGGUAUAUACUAGUAGCAACAGAUUACAUAACAAAAUGGGCUAAAGUCGUAGCUAUGAAAAUUGAUAGUGCAAGUACAGUAGCAACUUUUUUGUAUGAAAAUAUUAUUACAUGGUUUAGUUGUCCAUGAGAAUUGGUUAGUGAUUGAGGAACUUAUUUUAUAAAUAGUACAAUCGAAGCACUUACAACUAAAUACGAGAUAAAACAUCGUAAAACUACACCGUAUCACCCUAGAGCCAAUGGACAAACAAAAAAGACUAAUGGAAUUUUAUGUAAAAUCUUAACAAAGACAGUUUCAGAAACGGGAACGAAUUGGGAUACUAAGUUGUUCGUAGCUUUAUAGGCAUACCAUAUUGUGUAUAAAGUUACUACCAAUGCUACCCCUUUUCAAUUGGUUUAUGGCUAAGAAGCAAUAUUACCUAUUGAAUUGGAAGUCCAAAGUUUACGAAUUGCUAUAGAUAAUAGAUUGGGUGACCAUGAUUCAUUACGGCACCAUUUAAAAGAAUUAGAAAAUUGGAUGAAACUAGAGCCAAUGCAUUAAUGAUAAUGGAAACUACAUAAAAAUGAAAGAAGACUUAUUAUGAUAGUAAGCUUAGACCAAAGGCUUUUAUGCCAAAUGAUUUGAUACUUCUUUAUGAUAGUCGAUUUAAAAAAUUUCUAGGAAAAUUUCAAGUUCGAUGACAUGGGCCAUAUCGAGUUAUUGACAGAUUUCCAAAUGAUUCAGUGUAAUUAGAAGAUUUUAUGGAUACUAAAUUUACAACACAGAUCAAUGGCAAUCGGCUUAAACUUUAGUAUACAUAAACCCGGGAUGGAUUUUUUGUUAUAAAAAGGAGAGGGGAUAAAUAAUGAUGAUGAUAGGGUAGUAAAUGUAAGGUGAUAAGAAGUGUGAGGAAUAUGGAUGGGAUUUAUGAUAGCGGUAGUAAAGAUUGGUUGUUAGACCUAGUUAGUAGGGUAUUUCAUCAUGACAAAUCGUGAGAAAUAAGGAGGAAUCAAUCCAAUUGAUUGGACCAUAGUAAGGAGUAGGAGGGGGGCUCUUGAUAAGCAUCGUGUUUUUUUUUGUGUAAGUAGCCAUGUAUGUAUGUUUUGAGAGAUUAGUUGUAAGUGCUUGCUUGUAUUAGAAUACAAUGGCGAUUGAGAAGACUAAGAGGCAGUUGAAUAAGGACGAGAAACAACACAAUGUAAGGUCCAAGGAUGAGUUGCCACCAUUAGAGUGUAUUACUGUGACUAAUAUGGAGUCGAUCCGAUUGGAUGUUUGAUGGACUAAGGAGAAGUAGCAAGAUUUUCGAGGAGUGCAUAGGCAUGGGUCUUUACGUAUUUUGUAAAACUUAUCGCAAAUUGAUGUUGCGCUAGUGGAUAUUAGGGUUAAGGAGAAGUGGAUGGUGGAAAAGGAGAAGGUGGCAAACACGGUGUCUGAGAAAGCAAAGAUGGAUACCGAUUGGAAGGAACGACAAGAGCGGCUGCAGAUAGAGGUUGCGAUGUUGCAAACUAAACUAGCUACAUUAGCGAAGGAAGCCAAUAAUUUAGUGCAGACCAAUAUGCCAAUUUCAACAACAAUAUCUUCAGAGAUACCUUUGAAACCAACAGAAGAAUGGCAGAAGAUGUUGGACGAGCGUGAUAACCAAAUUACUCGUCUUAAGUCUCAGGUAUGGAAAUCGAGUUUAUUGAAUGAAGAUUUGACCAUGCGUUUGGAUGGAGAAUCCUCAAAUACCGAGGUAGAUGAUAAAAAUGUAGUAGAUGAGGAGGUCACCAAUUCAAAAGGUGGUAAGUCAACGCUGCUACGUCUUUAUAAGCUGAGGCUAAAUAAUGUUUGCGAGGAUGUUGCACAGAUAGGAGUGGAACUAUGUAGAAUAUAUAAAUAAAUUUUGUGGUAAGUUACUAAUUGAUUAUUGAUAACCUUGAGAAUUAGACUUAUGAUUAGACAAUUUAGUUGAUAACAGUAGGUUGUUAGUGGAACAAAUGGUUAAGAAUUCAAAGAUUCAUAACUUUUGGAAUCUGCUGGCCAAUGGUCCAUCUUUUGGUAAGAUAAAGAUGUUGAGAAAAGAGAAAUCAAGGCCAGACUAUAAUAGUCGUAAGCCGGGAUAAGCUUAAUACUACCUCUUUAUUUUCUUUGCUUUUAUUAUUUUCUUAUGAAGAAUUAUGAUUGAGAGAAGUAUUGUUGACAUUGUGAUUAGAAUAUUAUAGAAUAUGACUUUGGACUGACAGUUUUGGAGAAAAUCUAUGACCUUGAGAAUUGAGAUUAUCAAAUUAUGUUGUGUUAAGUAAAGAUAUUGAAUUUUGUGUGGUGAAUUGAGAAACUAAAUAUAAUAAGUAAGCUAGAGAUCAGUAAUUGAAUAUAUAUAAAUCGCAAAGAGAGUAAGUGGGAGAUGAACUGAUAAGAAUAUGGAAGUAUUGUUGAAUUGAUAUUCGUAGAAUGGAUUAUAUAUUAAAUUAAGAUGGAAGUAGUAAGCCUUGGUGUUUUGUAGUUUGAUUAUUGAUUUCAGAUAGCUAGAGUACAGUCAAUUGUGACACUAACAGACCCAAUUCAUAUAACCAUUCUUUUUCCAUGUUCGAACCCACCUCUAUUAGUUCAAUUGCUUUGAUAUAUUGAAGCUUGAACACAAUGAGAACAAUAGUCUUUUCCACAAUAAAAUCUCUCAAUACCUUAUUCAUCUCAUUCAUCAUAUGCGCAAUUGAGUUGGUUGCAACUUCAGGAAGAGUAUACAUUUUAACUAAUUUAAGUAGUAUUUUCAUUGUUGUCAUAUCUCUACUUCCUUCUGUAAGUUGAAAUUGAUCAUAGCCUGAAUAUAAAUCACCCAUUGAAUAGAUUGCCCUUCCUGCAAAUGCCUUAGCAAAUUCAUCUAUUAUAGGCCCAAUUCUUAUAUUUUUGCUUCAUUAGUUGCAUAUCUUGAAUAAAAUGUAAUGACUCAUUUUUCUUAGGCAUUGUAAACCAUCGACUAAAAUAUGGUGCAAAAGAGGGCUCCAAAAUCUUCAUCAUUAUCUUUUCUUUUAAUAAUUCCACCAAGCUUGGUAAAUAUAUCCUUGGUACUAGAAUUGGCCUUAGAUUCCAAGGUACAUAUGGUACAGUGAAAAUAACCAUAGGUGUUAUAAUAUUUGGAUCCACACACCCAGUUUCAUAAGAUUCAAAGACAAAUGAUCUAUCUUGUUUUGUCAAUAUCUCUUUGAAACAAGUAAUUUCCUCUGGAAAUAAAGAACUAUCAGAACCAAUCUUCAAUUCUUCAAAAGUCUCUUUAGUAAACUUGUAACAAAUGUUCUUUGGAUCUCUGAAGUUCCUCUCUCUUGAUGCUUCUUCUAUUUGUUCUUUAAAAUCUUUUAGCAAAGGUCCGACAACCGGUUCAACUUUUUUAUCUACUGUCUUAUAUUUUGGCUCAACUAUAACCUCCGAUGCUUGAAAAGAUUCAAUCAUAUCAUAAACUUUUCUUGAAUGAAUUGAUAUAACUUUAUUAUUAUUACCUAAUCCAAUAGACGCAAUCAAUUACAAAGGAUCUUCCAGUCCAUUUUUUUUAUAAAUACUAGUAAUCUUUUCAUUAUCUUCUAAUAUUCCUAACCUAUGCAAUUCUCUUUUAAUAGUACUUAAUUCUUUUUUUUAUUAUUUUUAAGUCAUCAAUCUUCUUAUAUAUAAUGCUUCUAAUUUCAAAAACGCUAAUAAAUCUUCUAUUAAAAGCACCUAUAUCUUGCGAGAGUACCUCUCUUUCAGUACUUCUAUAAUCUUGUUUUAUAGCGGUACCUUCAAAAAAUCCUUGAAUUCUUCAACAACCCUUGGCAAUGGAUUUUCUCUCAAUUUAUCUCAAUUCCGCUCAUGAUUUGGAUGCAUAAUCAAAAACUGUACUACCCUCCUCCCAUCCUCACUACAAAUUCGUACAUAAGCUAAACCAUCAUCAAGUAUAUUUGUUUCCAUUCAAGUUGCAAUAAUAUAUAGUUGUCCCAAAAUAAGAGGAUAAGAUGUUGUAUUUUGAACAAAAAAAUUCUACUCCAUUGCAAUAUCACCAAUCCAAAUUUUUACAUCCGGGUAAGUACCAUAUAACUCUCUACAUGUAUUAUUGGCUGCCCGUAUUGUCCACCCAUGCUCCAUGUCAAUUAGCCACCUUUGCUUCAUAUAAAGAUCUUUAGACAUAAGCUUUACCUCUAAACCAUGGUCAAUCAAAGCAACAACCGAUUCAUCUAUAUUUCCAAUCUUAACUAAUACCUCUGUAGUUGCUCUAGCCCAAUGCUUUCGAGUAUAAUGACUUAAAACCUCUCUAUCUUUAUUACCUUGAUCAUCAAAACGUACCCUUUGAUUAUAAUUCCUCUUUUCACUUGUUGAUUGUUUAUAACAAUUAUCAAAUACAUCUUCUUCACCUUCGUAUGUGUGUGCAUCAAUAACAAGAUUUAAUCCAACUUCUCCCAUUAAUUGCCUCUUUCAUUUAAUACUCUCAAUAAUGACAUCAUGGAAUUCUUUCUUGAUAAUUUCUAAAAUUUCUUUCAAUAUAAACUCAACCUUAGCAUUGAGUACACGUUCCUCAAGCACUCCCUUUAAAUCUGUUGUUGCUUCAAUAUGAGAGAGUAGUUUAUAAGUUUUCAAUUUAUCUUUAUCUUUCAUCUCUAUUACUUUUUCUUCUGAUAUUAUUGAAGUAUCCUUUGUUGAAAAUUCUUAUGAAGCUGAUGCAUGAGCCUUAUCUCCUCGAGUUUGCCUUUUAGAAGAAUUUUCUUCUCUUGAAUCAUCAAAAUUUCCUCUUCUCUUUUCUUCCAUUAAAGCUUCAUGUUGGCUUUUAGAAAAAUAUGCAUGUACUAACAAAGCUUCUACAAGAUCCUCCCAACCCGUAGUACCACAAAUUGUUGCAGUAAUUUUUAAUAAAGCUUCCUGUGGCAUCUUUUCUUUUUGCAUUGUAGAAAUAGCACAAGACCAAAGUCCACUUGGUUGAACAUUUCUAACAAAAUUUUGUCUGCCAUCAUUAUCCACCCUAGUUCCAUAACUCACAGCUUCUAUUGCUGCAAUUUCAUGUGUUGCCAAAUAGUCUCUAACUUAUGCUUUCAUGCAUCCUUUACCAAAGUUGGUUUAGAAAAGAUCACCAGUAUCUUUCAAUAGAACCUUUCCAUCUUUCCAAUAAACAAUGUCUUAUUGAACCAUCUCAUCAAAUUCACCACAAUCUUUUCAAGAAUGAAAAUCAUCAUUAUACCAAAUACAUCUUUAUUCAUACCCUUGUACUAUAGCAAGUUCAAAUAAUUGAAUCAUCUCUUUCUCAGAAACGCAAUUCAAUUCCAUUUCCCACACAUAACAUCUUAAAUAUUUGGAAAUAUCCCUCCUAUCAAAUUGGUCAACCUUGUUAACCACUGCUUGCAAUGCUUUGGUUACCAAAGUCUCUUUGCGAUCAUUGCCCUGUUGCUGUUGGAUAAAUAAUGUAAAUGCUUGAAACAUUUUUGCAAUGUUUGGGUCAAGGUACAUGCCUUGUUUACUAGUAGAAAUUCUACUUGAAGUUGGGCUUGAAGAUCCACUUGAAGCUCCAUCCAAAGCUCCAUUAAAAAUUCCAAAUUCAACCUUCUUCUCUUCUUGCGCCAUCAAUUUCAAAUAACCACAAAUAUAAUCCAAUACCUUCCACCCCAAACUUUCACAUCAGAUUUACCACUUAUGUCAUAUUACGUAUUAUAUUAUCGAGGAAUAUAUUGGUAUCGUAUUGUAAUAUGACUAUAUAGUGAAAAUAUAAAUAAAAAAGAUUUUAUUAAUAUUUAAUCAUCUUGGAUGUUAGAAACAAUGGCAAAUUCGAGUACCAAUAUUCAAGGGCCAGUUAAUGACAUCUCAUUGUAAGCUAUACCAUCGAACGUGAUAUCAGUAAUAUAUUCCACCGGCAUCAUCAAACCAAGUACCCUCUGUAUCAACAGGACAACCAUGAUCAUUUUCUAAUCCUACAUAGAACAAGCCUAGUAGGUAUAUAUCGAUGGAGAUACCCAAUAUGCAUGAUGGGGGUAUAAGAAGACGACUUCGUUGUUUCCGAUACAAACAAAUUGGUCAUUAUACUAAUGAAUGUUCCAAUCCCAGAGCCAAUGAUGAUUACACGUCAGUGUGUGGAAAUUGCAAGCAGUCGAGGCAUACUUAUCAGCAAUGUAAUGUUCCGUUCAAUUUUAAUAAUCGAGAUCAAUAGAUCAAAAGCCAAGAAAAAAAUUGAAGAGAUAAAUCGAGGUCCUCAAGAUUCUCUACUAAAAUGGGUGGAAUGUGUCCAAGCCAUUCUUACAAGGAGUCGGCAAAAGGGGAAAGGACCAAUUCAACAUUUGGAUGAGCCUGAUGCGAAGGGCCAAUUUGAUCCAAUUUCGAGGACAUCCAAUCUAAGUCUUGUUACGAGCUUCUUAUCCAGUAUGGGACCUGACUCGGUUGGGCAACCCAAUGAGGUCCCGAUCAUAGAGGCUUCAGUUCUAUUUCAAGCUAUUCCGUUCUCUAUGCCGUUUUGAGGAAAUGUCCUUUCCGUAGAAAGAUCCUCUUAGAGGCGAAAUUCCAAAGAAGCACGAUCUGCUAUUCCAAUUCAGAAGUCCAGGGCAGAAGAAUAGAGGAUUUGGGAUCGAAGAGCUAGCUUCAAGCUCCUUUGAAAGAUGUAAGACUUGGUUUCAUAGAGUUUGGCAAGACUUUGCAAUCAUUGUUGAAAGUCAGUGUUUGUAUUGGUGAUUUGGGUUUUUUGCAAUAAAGUUAGGGAUAGUACUCUUGACUGUUUUGUAAAAUUGGAGAAACAUCUGCGAUUGAAAUUUUAGAGGUAUCUAGAUGGUUGAGUAUGCCAAGCACAUGCAAAAAAUUGUGUUAAUCUAAUAGUAUGGAUAGAGGAUAUUUGAUCGUUAGUGUAAAGAGAUAUCAGAAGUUGGCAGAUUGGGGCUGUUUAGGAUUUUUGUGAUAUCUGGAGAUCUACUAGCUGGAAUAAGGUAAAUUUUAGUGUGGUAAGUUGGGGACUUAAAGGCGGAGCUGCACACAAAGUUUGAAUGAGAAUUAAUGGUUGAGGAAGGUAAAAUUACAAUUCAAAGUUCGUCAUCAACUUUCUGGGCGGCAGUCAAGGGACAUCAGUGUGGAUUUAUGGCGUUUUCUUGCAAUCUGGAAGUUGGAUUGGAUUAAAACUUCUUGAGCAUUUAGAAGACUUACAAAGACACUAAUGGUAGAAGUUUUACAAUAAUUAAAUAGAGCGAUUAAGAAUAACAGCUUGUCGAAGCUCGCUGUCUAGAGUUAGGAUUUUAAAAUUAAAAAAUAAAAUAAUAAAAUAAUAAUAAUAAUAAAAAUUAAAUUAAAUUAACAAAUAAAAAAAAUUUGUGCUUAUAAUAUCUUAAAGUUAUAAAAAAAUAGUAUUUCCAAGCACUUUGUAUUGAGAUUAAGCUUUUACAUUGCAAUCCAAAAUAGUUUAUAUUUAGAUGGUUGAAAUCCACCAGACUACUUGGAUACUUCCAAAAUAUUAUUUUAUCUUCCACAGCCAGACACUUGGUGCAUUCUUAAACAAGAUAGCAUGUAAUACGACACCACGCACUUAGUUGUAGAAGGUGAGAUUAUGUUUUACAAGUAACCAAGAAAUCCUAAUAGGUUUCAUCCAUGCGAGAAGAAUAUAAUCUGAAUUUCAAUUCAAAAGUAUUUAAAACACUCUUUUUAGUAGUCUUAACCAUACAUAAAUCCCAAUUACCUUCUUACUUUCAUAUUUAAGCAAUUUAGAUUUUUCUUAUAAGUUCCAAUCCUAAUAAGUGAACUUUAACAAGCUGUAACAUCCAAUCCGAUCGUCCACUUGAUGUAGAAUUUUGCAUGCAAUUAUCAAUAUAAGUCUUCUAAAUGCUCAAGAAUUUUUAGCCCAAUGCAACUUACAGAUUGUGAGAAAACCUCCAAAAAUUGCACCAAUGUCACUCGGCUGCCAACUUAAAAAAUGAAGCAGAAAUCCUAGCAAUGAUUUCUCCCUUUUCAAUUGUUAACUUUGUCUCAAAAUUGGUGUGUAGCUUGAUCUUCAAGUCCUACAACACCAUGCCAAUUUUCACUUUAAUCCAAUUAAUAGAUCUUCAAAUAUCAUAGAAAUCCUAUCCAACUUCAAACUGCCACUUUCUAAAACCCUCUUAAACUAAAAACUAGAUAUCUCUAAACUACGCCGUUACAUUAUUACAAAAUUUGUAUAUACUUAGCACAUCCAAUAAUCCAAAUAGUAUCAAAUUUUUAAUUGUAGAUGUCACACCAAUUGUACGAACUAGCCAAAAUUACUAGCCCUAAUUAUAUUAUGUAAAAUCCAAAUCACUGAUACAAACCCUGAUUUUGAACAAAAAAUUUUAAGUCCUCUAAAACCUUGUCAAAAAAAUUCUUAUG
This 25708-nucleotide long non-coding RNA is filed under the name Physcomitrium patens. Its description in RNAcentral is "long non-coding RNA (PPAT_LNC001035)". The record is from RNAcentral. Lineage: Eukaryota; Viridiplantae; Streptophyta; Bryopsida; Funariales; Funariaceae.